This is a long non-coding RNA of Cygnus olor (mute swan), 1429 nucleotides long. RefSeq lists it as uncharacterized. The transcript is spliced from 3 exons. The record is from RefSeq and is a predicted model, not a curated record. NCBI's taxonomy places the organism in Eukaryota, Metazoa, Chordata, Aves, Anseriformes, Anatidae.
AAGUGAUGAGAUGAGAGCCAGAGGGGAAAUGCAGUACUUUAGGAGCUCCUUAUAGCCCCUCUCCUCUGCUCCCUUGAUCCUCAUUAAACACUUGCUCAAUCCAUCAAACUUACUCAACUAUUGUUUUCCUAGCUCAGCUGUUUUGCAGUGACUGUGACAACACAUCCAUUCCUGGUAUCUGGGAUCCUCAGCAACAAAUUGCAGAAGAAAGAAUGCAACACAGUACAAAAGGAAGUAAAAGAGGAAGAAAUGGCAGAAGACUUGGUGAAAUCCAGGCUAUAGAACACAAGACAGAAACUCCCUCUUCCAUGUUCAUGAAUGAAGGAGAAAGGAUAGAAAACCACUUUGAAAGGGCAUCUUGCUGCUGAGUGCUUUGUAGAUUACACACAGGAGGACUCUGAGAAGUAGUUUUGAUGUGCUACAGGAAAAAGUGAACUAGGGUUGCAACAGAAUUCCUGAAACAGAACCAUUUAAAAGACUCUCAAAGACUCUUCCUAGGAAAGAGUACAGUGAAGACAAGACCUAAAUGAAAAAGCCUUUUCAAAAGCUUCAUCUCUCUGUGGUUUAAGAACUAUAAUCCGAUGGACCUCAACUCUCCAGGAUGCCUCUUGGCCACCUGGAGAUCCAGAAUCUGAGCAAACAUGGAGUUUCUGGAUCACCCAAGAGAUGCUAACUGCAACACUGGACAGCUUGUGGUAGGGGAGGUCUUUUCUCACAGAUCAAAGCUGCUGCUGUGGAUGGUGCCCUGUAAGGAAGAGAGGGCAGCGGCAGUGCAACCCUGAAGCAUCAAUCCUCUGUCCUCGAGCAGAGAGACGUGGUGCAGAGACCACAGAUCAAGCUGCAUUUGACCUAAGGAGUCUGAAGAGUCAGAGGACACAGCACUGCACUGCACACACACAAGGAGCACAUUUAGCAAUUGUGAAGUGUGAGACAAAAAGUCAUCUGUUUAAAUCUUGAGCUCAAGACAUUAAUGUAGUAAUUCUGAUGUCAAAGCCCUGUUCUGCUGACUUAAACUCUUAACAAAGUCACAGGGUUUCUACGACCUACAUUUUAGACAGGAGACUUUUUACCUUGACUUUCCAGUCUAAAGUGAUGGGAACAAUGUUUCCCUACCUCCCUUGCAGACAUUCAGGGAAAGUGAAUGAGCUCAGGUUUGGACAGCACUUUUGACUACAGAAAAUGUCAUGUACUUAAAUGAAAUUGACUGAAAAGUUAGCAUUAAAAUCAACAGAAAAAAGGAGGCAGGAGGAGGCAUUCAGGACUGCUUCAAUGUUCUCUUAGAAGCAGAAUCAAGUCUGUAGAUGAUUGCUAUGACUAAGAAAAAAUAAACCCACCUAGGUAAAAAAGAAAAUGAGCAAAGUCACUGUGAAGGAUUCCUCUUCUAGAGAUCAGGCUACUGCUAUAUUUGCUUUCUGUUAAAACUCUUCAA